RNAcentral lists this long non-coding RNA (2174 nucleotides) under Zea mays. RNAcentral describes it as "long non-coding RNA (ZMAY_LNC001772)". The record is from RNAcentral. Lineage: Eukaryota; Viridiplantae; Streptophyta; Magnoliopsida; Poales; Poaceae.
UCGGCCAUCGACUCAAUCCACUCGCCCCAAUAUCCUCCCGCUUUCCCUGCCGCAAUCUCGAGGAUUCCUCGCCGCCGCGGUAAGAAACAGGGCUGCCGCGGGAGUGUUCCGGCUUACCGUCUACCGCGCCCGGUGUGGGGCUUGGGGACUACCCUUGGUGGUGGGGCAGGCUCUCGUGGCCGCACUAUCCGGAGUUGGUCGCCAGCAUCGGACGAAUUGCUCGCAGAACUUGCGAAAUCACCGCAGAGCCCCCCGCCCCAUCCCGUGGGCAGUGCACGUCGCACCACCGUCGCAGGUAAGAACUCCCUUGAUGAAUUCGCGCUACUUUCCUCUUCAUUUCCAUGUCGCUUAGGUUGAAUCAAUCCGUGGUCGUCCGUUCUGCGAUUGAUGGUCCCGAUUAGAUCGUGAAUGUUUAAAAUCCGAACCAUUGGAUAUAAAUCCAAGGAUCUGCACGAUAUACCGAUUCAAUGAAUCAUGGAUCUAAUCUGUGUCAUCUGCUCUUGAUCGGAUGGCUAGGGUUACUCCGUACCCCUUUGGCUUGCGCAAAUUGUAAAUGAGCCCUCGGGCUUUUAGCGAAUCAACUUGCAGUCCUAGCGGAUGUAUUCUGAGUCUUAUGAAUAAUCGCGCAGUAGCCCCUGUCUUUUUCGGUAAUUGACGCGCAGUCCAGAAGUCAGUAAAAAUGAAUAAAUGAUUAAGGAAAUUAAUUUUUAGUAUGAAAUUAAUUACAGAAACCUGUAUAAUUCCUAGAAAAAUCAUAUUAAGUCCAAAUUGGUCUAUUCCAGUUCCUAUAAUUUUGUAUUAAUACUGUCUAUAACUCUAUAACACCGUUUUAACAUGAAAAGUGUAUUAAAAUUGAUCUCAUUUUGGUAGUUUUGCUAUUGCUCUGUAUGGUUUUGGGUUUAAUAUUACAUUAUGUCCAUGUUCCAAUUAUUCUGUUAUUUUAUUUAUUAUUCAUGUCAAGGUCAUUAUUUUAAUUGGAACAUGGAGCUUAACUUAAGAAACACGUGCCACCACAUGGGUGGAAUGGGACGUCCUUGGCUGACUAACUAGGAAAGCUAGUGGAUGACUACCUUACCUGAUACGGGCAAGGGCAGUAGGGAAGUAGGCAUGUAGGGAGGUUUCCGGGUUGAUUUUGCUGCGAUGGCGGUCAGACGGGGGAUUCUUGCAUUGCUCUUCCUAGAACUGUAGUGGGUUUUCUAAAGCUAGUGGAACUAGGUAAAGGCCUCAUAGAGUUACCCUGCCUCGCUUUCUUGGUAGAGGUGUAUGGGGCUCGUACAACCCCAUGGCAGAUGAGUAACAUGACUUGUGGGUACAGGGUACAACCUCUAUAGAGUGUAAAACUGGUAUACUAGCCGUGCUCGCGGUCAUGAGCAGCUCAGGAUUCUCGCAUGUUUAAAUUAUGGAACUAAAAUCAAUUUACCAUUUGCAUUGCAUGGGAUUUAUUAUUAAUUUUGUUCUAUAUUUAGUAUGGUUUGGUAUUUACUUACAUCUAGUAAUUGCUAAUAAAAUUUGACCAACUUAUUAAAAGCAAUGCUCAGCUUUAACCCCUAUUGUUGAUUAGCCUUACACACCACAUGAACUCCCACCUUGGUGAGUUCAUGCACAUUAUUCUUCACGACUUGUUGAGCUAUUAUCUUUUGUGAGCUCACACUUGUGAUAUAUAACCCCCCCACAGAAGAAGAACUUGUGAUCCAAGAGGAGCCGCACAACGAGGAGUUCGACUGGAUCUAGGUGGUGUCUCCCAGUCGACUUUAUGGCGCCAAGGAUGGACCUUAGUUCGUUUUAUAUUUAUCUUUUAUUUUCAUGAGACUUCCGCUAUGUAAUAAUUACUAUUAUGAUAUUGUGACAUUUAUCUCUAUACAUUCUGUUAUUAUAUGUGUUGUUCUUCUUUGGCGCACAUAUGAGAUACACCCGACUUUAUCCCUUAAAUCCGGGUGUGACAGAAGUGGUAUCAUAGAAAAUGUUGACUGUAGACAAAACCUAUAUAGAAAUGGACAAAACCCUUACCUACUUACCUUAAUCUGACUCUUCCUAUACUUAUCUUGAUCUUGUCUCACCUUUUGCUGUUCUACUCUGAUUACUCUUAUCUUUUCUACUCUAAGACAAGAUGGAUUUCACACCUUGGAAUCUUACAUUUAUGACCCAUUUUUAAGAGAUAGGAGACCAAAAACAAA